This 466-nucleotide ribosomal RNA is filed under the name uncultured bacterium. Its description in RNAcentral is "partial 16S ribosomal RNA". It matches the Rfam family "Bacterial small subunit ribosomal RNA", at positions 28 to 507 of the family's 1533-position model. The record is from RNAcentral.
GACGAACGCUGGCGGCGUGCUUAACACAUGCAAGUCGAACGGAAAGGCCCUGCUUUUGUGGGGUGCUCGAGUGGCGAACGGGUGAGUAACACGUGAGUAACCUGCCCUUGACUUUGGGAUAACUUCAGGAAACUGGGGCUAAUACCGGAUAGGAGCUCCUGCUGCAUGGUGGGGGUUGGAAAGUUUCGGCGGUUGGGGAUGGACUCGCGGCUUAUCAGCUUGUUGGUGGGGUAGUGGCUUACCAAGGCUUUGACGGGUAGCCGGCCUGAGGGUGACCGGCCACAUUGGGACUGAGAUACGGCCCAGACUCCUACGGGAGGCAGCAGUGGGGAAUAUUGCACAAUGGGCGGAAGCCUGAUGCAGCAACGCCGCGUGCGGGAUGAUGGCCUUCGGGUUGUAAACCGCUUUCGCCUGUGACGAAGCGUGAGUGACGGUAAUGGGUAAAGAAGCACCGGCUAACUACGUG